AAAAUAUACGAUCCGGUCCAGGAUAAUUAUGUAUUCUAAAAGCUGUAUCAAUUUCAUUAAAAUCUACUGAGCGGUUUUCGAGUUACAGUUGUCAACAGUUCAAAAAACAUAGUUUUGUGGAAAACGCAUUGAAAGUUUCACACUAGCGUGUUAGAGUGCCCGAACGCUCUUUGUUAUUUGUCGACUAACUCGAAAAUUAAUUAUCAGAUCAACUUCAAAUUUUUAGAGAAUAUUUUUUGAGAUAUUACUCUUAACGAAAAUGUAAAAAAAAAAAUAUCUUUUGUAAAUCCUGACUACUCUAACCUCUUAAGAUAUAUGAGAAAUAGCUGUGGCUGUUGUCCGAUUUCAACUAUUUUCAAAUGGUAAAUUUGGUUUAUCAAACUAGCAGACCCGGGCACACGUUUUUGUAGCUAAGGUAUACAUUAAAUUAGUAAAUUUUUCAAAGCAGAGAAAAAAAUUCUUACGCAUAAAGACAAAAACGUUUUAGCCGAUAAAUUUUAAAAUUAUUAAUAGAAAUUAUUGUAGAUCUGUAUUAAGCGUAAAUCAUCAUAAUUUGUAAAACUUUGAUUUUUUAAUCGUAUAUUGAAGAAAGUAACAAAUGACCAAAUUUCAUACUUGGCUUUAUCUUGACUUUUGUGACGAUAUUGAUUACUAUCUUCACAACCAGUCUUGAUCUAAUGCAAAGUCGAGGUUGAUUUAUGUUACGCAGCAUGAUUACAACUCACACUACUUUUAAUUGCAAGUGAGUGGGGAUAGUCCAGCAAUUUAAAAUAGUCUGUGGGAUAAUUGAAUACGUCAUCCUGGUUUGUAGCUGUGUCAACUCUCCUUUAACGAAAUUCUAAAUUGUCGCAUUAAAAUCAAAGAGAUCCUUGUUUUUUUACCACCAAUAUAGGUCCAUCAAGCAGUCAUUUAUGGUUAUCAUAUUGUGGUUUCAUUUCAGGAAAAAUACGAUGAAUAAGCUUCUCCUUCGAGUCAAUGAAGUGACAGAAAUCUUUAGGGAAUGUUAUUAAUCCAUUGAGGUGUCAACUGGGAACCUACCAUUUCCAACUGCUUCUACUCGUACAAUCGCAAUUUGAUAUUGUUGCAAAAUCAGUGGUAUGUUAGUAGUUUAUUGGCGAUUCUUUAAGUGUCGCCACAAAUUCGAUGAUUUUAGGCAUGCGAUUAUCCAUGAAUAACUAACUGGAAGAGUCUUGCGUAAAUCACUGCCAACAUAAUCAUGGUUCCACCACAAAAUUUUUGGUUGUCGCGUAAAUCUUUUGAAUCCUGCGCAGUGCCUCCAGCGACUUCUUGAAUAUCUGGAAAAUCUUGAUUUAAUGAUUUAAUGUUCGGUUGCACCUAACCUUAGCCUUUCCUUAUUUGUUACAAAUUGUUUUGGGCUAUCGACACAACCUUAUGAAAUUGAACAAUAACAAAAAUAUUUUAACAAAGCAACAAUGACAACCUCUAAAAUAUUAUUAUUUUUUGUUUUCUUUUUUCAUAUUUUUGUUGUCAACUCAAAUAAAAUUCUCUUAUUAUUUUCUUCCUCGCAAUUUUUCAUAUUUAAUUACUUUAUAAUCUUUUCCUGGCCUUCCUCGACUUUUUGCGAUACUCAUGAACAGAGCAAUUUAUUUUUAUAUCUAUAGAUUAGAAAUUGUUUGUAUGAGACAUUAGAAAAGUGUGCAUUUUAGACUUUUUCGGGAUAUUUUUUUUAAUUUUUCUCUCCGUAAGAACCAUCCUUAUACUUCGAGGAAUAUUGUAAAAAAAGAAUUCACGAAAUCGAAGAUUUUAUACAAAAUGAUCGAGUAGUUGCUGAUGGAAUGCAAAAAACAGCUUUUACAACAUAUCGUUUUUUCACCACGCAAGUACUCAUAGGUCGGUUGACCUAGGAAAGGUAUGGUUACAUCCACCAUAUUGGGAAAAACCAAAAACUUAUUCACCACUUCGCACAACUUGCUCUCAAUGAUGCCGGUCACAAUGCUAUA
Molecule: long non-coding RNA, 1961 nt
Organism: Zeugodacus cucurbitae (melon fly)
Lineage: Eukaryota; Metazoa; Arthropoda; Insecta; Diptera; Tephritidae
Exons: 3
Source: RefSeq, a predicted model, not a curated record